GGGUUGUGAGGUUAAGCGACUAAGCGUACACGGUGGAUGCCCUGGCAGUCAGAGGCGAUGAAGGACGUGCUAAUCUGCGAUAAGCGUCGGUGAGGUGAUAUGAACCGUUAUAACCGGCGAUUUCCGAAUGGGGAAACCCAGUGUGUUUCGACACACUAUCAUUAACUGAAUCCAUAGGUUAAUGAGGCGAACCGGGGGAACUGAAACAUCUAAGUACCCCGAGGAAAAGAAAUCAACCGAGAUUCCCCAGUAGCGGCGAGCGAACGGGGGGAGGAGCCCAGAGCCUGAAUCAGUGUGUGUGUUAGUGGAAGCGUCUGGAAAGGCGCGCGAUACAGGGUGACAGCCCCGUACACAAAAAAAAUGCACAUAUUGUGAGCUCGAUGAGUAGGGCGGGACACGUGGUAUCCUGUCUGAAUAUGGGGGGACCAUCCUCCAAGGCUAAAUACUCCUGACUGACCGAUAGUGAACCAGUACCGUGAGGGAAAGGCGAAAAGAACCCCGGCGAGGGGAGUGAAAAAGAACCUGAAACCGUGUACGUACAAGCAGUGGGAGCCUCUUUAUGGGGUGACUGCGUACCUUUUGUAUAAUGGGUCAGCGACUUAUAUUCUGUAGCAAGGUUAACCGAAUAGGGGAGCCGAAGGGAAACCGAGUCUUAACUGGGCGUUAAGUUGCAGGGUAUAGACCCGAAACCCGGUGAUCUAGCCAUGGGCAGGUUGAAGGUUGGGUAACACUAACUGGAGGACCGAACCGACUAAUGUUGAAAAAUUAGCGGAUGACUUGUGGCUGGGGGUGAAAGGCCAAUCAAACCGGGAGAUAGCUGGUUCUCCCCGAAAGCUAUUUAGGUAGCGCCUCGUGAAUUCAUCUCCGGGGGUAGAGCACUGUUUCGGCAAGGGGGUCAUCCCGACUUACCAACCCGAUGCAAACUGCGAAUACCGGAGAAUGUUAUCACGGGAGACACACGGCGGGUGCUAACGUCCGUCGUGAAGAGGGAAACAACCCAGACCGCCAGCUAAGGUCCCAAAGUCAUGGUUAAGUGGGAAACGAUGUGGGAAGGCCCAGACAGCCAGGAUGUUGGCUUAGAAGCAGCCAUCAUUUAAAGAAAGCGUAAUAGCUCACUGGUCGAGUCGGCCUGCGCGGAAGAUGUAACGGGGCUAAACCAUGCACCGAAGCUGCGGCAGCGACACUAUGUGUUGUUGGGUAGGGGAGCGUUCUGUAAGCCUGUGAAGGUGGCCUGUGAGGGUUGCUGGAGGUAUCAGAAGUGCGAAUGCUGACAUAAGUAACGAUAAAGCGGGUGAAAAGCCCGCUCGCCGGAAGACCAAGGGUUCCUGUCCAACGUUAAUCGGGGCAGGGUGAGUCGACCCCUAAGGCGAGGCCGAAAGGCGUAGUCGAUGGGAAACAGGUUAAUAUUCCUGUACUUGGUGUUACUGCGAAGGGGGGACGGAGAAGGCUAUGUUGGCCGGGCGACGGUUGUCCCGGUUUAAGCGUGUAGGCUGGUUUUCCAGGCAAAUCCGGAAAACCAAGGCUGAGGCGUGAUGACGAGGCACUACGGUGCUGAAGCGACAAAUGCCCUGCUUCCAGGAAAAGCCUCUAAGCAUCAGGUAACAUCAAAUCGUACCCCAAACCGACACAGGUGGUCAGGUAGAGAAUACCAAGGCGCUUGAGAGAACUCGGGUGAAGGAACUAGGCAAAAUGGUGCCGUAACUUCGGGAGAAGGCACGCUGAUAUGUAGGUGAAGCGACUUGCUCGUGGAGCUGAAAUCAGUCGAAGAUACCAGCUGGCUGCAACUGUUUAUUAAAAACACAGCACUGUGCAAACACGAAAGUGGACGUAUACGGUGUGACGCCUGCCCGGUGCCGGAAGGUUAAUUGAUGGGGUUAGCGGUAACGCGAAGCUCUUGAUCGAAGCCCCGGUAAACGGCGGCCGUAACUAUAACGGUCCUAAGGUAGCGAAAUUCCUUGUCGGGUAAGUUCCGACCUGCACGAAUGGCGUAAUGAUGGCCAGGCUGUCUCCACCCGAGACUCAGUGAAAUUGAACUCGCUGUGAAGAUGCAGUGUACCCGCGGCAAGACGGAAAGACCCCGUGAACCUUUACUAUAGCUUGACACUGAACAUUGAGCCUUGAUGUGUAGGAUAGGUGGGAGGCUUUGAAGUGUGGACGCCAGUCUGCAUGGAGCCGACCUUGAAAUACCACCCUUUAAUGUUUGAUGUUCUAACGUUGGCCCGUAAUCCGGGUUGCGGACAGUGUCUGGUGGGUAGUUUGACUGGGGCGGUCUCCUCCUAAAGAGUAACGGAGGAGCACGAAGGUUGGCUAAUCCCCGGUCGGACAUCAGGAGGUUAGUGCAAUGGCAUAAGCCAGCUUGACUGCGAGCGUGACGGCGCGAGCAGGUGCGAAAGCAGGUCAUAGUGAUCCGGUGGUUCUGAAUGGAAGGGCCAUCGCUCAACGGAUAAAAGGUACUCCGGGGAUAACAGGCUGAUACCGCCCAAGAGUUCAUAUCGACGGCGGUGUUUGGCACCUCGAUGUCGGCUCAUCACAUCCCGGGCUGAAGUAGGUCCCAAGGGUAUGGCUGUUCGCCAUUUAAAGUGGUACGCGAGCUGGGUUUAGAACGUCGUGAGACAGUUCGGUCCCCUAUCUGCCGUGGGCGCUGGAGAACUGAGGGGGGCUGCUCCUAGUACGAGAGGACCGGAGUGGACGCAUCACUGGUGUUCGGGUUGUCAUGCCAAUGGCACUGCCCGGUAGCUAAAUGCGGAAGAGAUAAGUGCUGAAAGCAUCUAAGCACGAAACUUGCCCCGAGAUGAGUUCUCCCUGAGACUUAGAGUCUCCUGAAGGAACGUUGAAGACGACGACGUUGAUAGGCCGGGUGUGUAAGCGCAGCGAUGCGUUGAGCUAACCGGUACUAAUGAACCGUGAGGCUUAACCUUACAACGCCGAAG
This 2930-nucleotide ribosomal RNA is filed under the name Escherichia coli. RNAcentral's name for it is "23S ribosomal RNA". It matches the Rfam family "Bacterial large subunit ribosomal RNA". The record is from RNAcentral. Lineage: Bacteria; Pseudomonadati; Pseudomonadota; Gammaproteobacteria; Enterobacterales; Enterobacteriaceae.